UGGGGAAUUUUGCACAAUGGGCGAAACCCUGAUGCAGCGACGCCGCGUGAUUUAGAAGGCCUUCGGGUUGUAAAAAUCUUUUCUAUGGGAAGAAAAUGACAGUACCAUAUGAAUAAGGACCGGCUAAUUACGUGCCAGCAGCCGCGGUAAUACGUAAGGUCCGAGCGUUGUCCGGAAUCAUUGGGCGUAAAGGGUACGUAGGCGGGUAAGCAAGUUAGAAGUGAAAUCCUAUAGCUCAACUAGAGUAAGCUUUUAAAACUGCUCAGCUUGAGGUAUGGAGAGGAAAGUGGAAUUCCUAGUGUAGCGGUGAAAUGCGCAGAUAUUAGGAGGAAUACCGGUGGCGAAGGCGGCUUUCUGGCCAUAACCUGACGCUGAGGUACGAAAGCGUGGGUAGCGAACAGG
Molecule: ribosomal RNA, 402 nt
Filed under: bacterium
Lineage: Bacteria
Description: partial 16S ribosomal RNA
Rfam family: Bacterial small subunit ribosomal RNA
Source: RNAcentral